UUGUAUUUGGCACUAAAUUUGCCUGGUUCGGUGUUGGAUAACUUUUCAUUUAAGUGAUGAAAAGUGUUCUAACUUUAUCCACGUGUGGACUUUCAUUCUACAAAAAUUGGUCGGUGAGGUCGGUUUAAAUUAUAAAAUGUUGUCGAAAACAUGGAAAAACAAGAAAAUAAAUAGAGCAAUAAUAUGAUUUUUAUACUUGAUAUAAAAUGGAACUAUCUUACUCUUCGUGGAGGAGCAAAGUCAUGAUAAUGCGUUUCCGUAUGAAGAUUUCAAUGCUCUCUCAAGGCCAUGGUAACACGUGCAUAAAAUGCUUAUAAAGGGAAUAAAUUCAUACCCAGCCUGAAGAUUGAAUAUUAGAUGAGCAUCUGUUGAGAAACUGUAUUCUUAUUUGAAAUACAACACAACACUUGCCUGAAGAGAUCACUCCAAAAUGUGCGUUAAAGUACACAAGAUGCUUGGAAGCGCGGGUGCGAAGUAAAUAAUAAAAAAUAAUAUGAUUUGUAACACUAUAAAUAAAAAUAAUUACAACUUGAAA
Drosophila busckii is the source of this 535-nucleotide long non-coding RNA. RefSeq lists it as uncharacterized. The record is from RefSeq and is a predicted model, not a curated record. The transcript is spliced from 6 exons. Lineage: Eukaryota; Metazoa; Arthropoda; Insecta; Diptera; Drosophilidae.